GAAGGGAAUUAGGGGGNGGCCGAGUGGUCUAAGGCGGCAGACUUAAGAUCUGUUGGACGGUUGUCCGCGCGAGUUCGAACCUCGCAUCCUUCA
Molecule: transfer RNA, 93 nt
Filed under: Saccharomyces cerevisiae UFMG A-905
Lineage: Eukaryota; Fungi; Ascomycota; Saccharomycetes; Saccharomycetales; Saccharomycetaceae
Description: tRNA-Leu (TAA) (tRNA-Leu-TAA-5-1)
Rfam family: tRNA (bases 12-93)
About the family: Transfer RNA (tRNA) molecules are approximately 80 nucleotides in length.
Source: RNAcentral